Panicum virgatum (switchgrass) is the source of this 1700-nucleotide RNA transcript. It is a transcript of the gene named DNA-directed RNA polymerases I and III subunit RPAC2-like, with no coding region annotated. Lineage: Eukaryota; Viridiplantae; Streptophyta; Magnoliopsida; Poales; Poaceae. The record is from RefSeq and is a predicted model, not a curated record. The transcript has 3 exons.
UCCCCUCCCCUCUCUCUCCUCACCCAGUGGUGGCGACAGGCGAGAAGGUGGCUCCGGCGCCGGCGAUGAGGCCCGGGCCGGUGAAGAGGGCAGCGCCGCCGAGCUCCGCUCGCCGGAUCUGCGUGCCAUAGACACGGGUGCGCAGCUCCGUCGAGCGCUGCUCGGUGGUGCCGUAAGGCCCCGUCCCUCGCGCGCGGUCCACGGGUUCCGCGGCGGCGACGGCGAGCACGGCACGGUGGCAACAGCACGUGCUAGAGGAGGCGCCAAGCCAGCGCGGCGGGCUGCGAGGCCGCUCAGGGACCAAGUCCUCGAGCGUGCGCUCACCUUAUGCGUCACCCAUGGCGACACGGUGGUCGGUGCCGUCCCCCGUGCUCCUCAGGUUGGCCUGUCUUCGUGGAUCAUGAAUAUGAAACUUCGUUGGGAGGGAGAACACCAGUUGCUGCAGUAUUUGACGUUUCCAGUUUUGGGAUUCAGAAACUAUGUUGACUUGUCUUUUUGCCUUUGUGGGUCAUGACUAUGAACCUUUGUCAUUAGUUAGAAGAAUGUAGCUCAGGCAAACAACUGUUACUAGAUGAUAACAGUUUGUGGUUAAGGGAGUUCUUGGUGCAGCCCCUUGAUCCGUAUAACAGAGAAUGUUCAGAGGAUAGUCACCUUAACUGUACUUUGAUUUGUUCUAUAACAAAUUACACACUCUAACUCCCUGAGUUUAGAACUGGACAUCUCAAGCAUAAAGUCAGGUACACAUUAAGCUUUACUUUUGUUUCAUGCAUUGCCUGAGUCCGAAACAAGACACUCUUAAAGCUAUACCUUUUGUUUUCAUAGAUAUGUUAUACACUUUAAGCUUUACCCCUUUUUUGUAAGAACUAAGCUUUACCUGUUUGUCUCCAUACAUACACUAAGUCCCAAGGCAAUCUUUAUGGGCCAAUUGUUCGAAUUUCAUGUUUACCAAAUAUAUACAAGUAAAAUGUUCAAGUCAACUCCAAAGAAGCAUACAUACAAAUUGUUUCCGUCGUCGUCGUGCUUAAACUGUUUUUUUCAAUAGAGUUUAUUGUUAAGAAGUGUGGCGGAAAGCAUUCAGUGAACCUUGCACAAAAAUUUGAUAUGGAUACCAGCAAUUUUGUACAUUUGUAAUUCAAGGCUACUAAUUCUGCAUAUCUGACAUUCUCUCUGUCUUCACAGCCCAAGGGUAGCAUUUUGUGGAUAUAGCAUCCCUCAUCCUGCUGACAGGAAAAUCAACAUUAGAGUUCAUACUACAGGAGAUCCAGCAAAGGAUGUACUGAAAGAUGCUUUGCAGGAUCUGAUGGUUAUGUGCCAGCAUGUCAGAGGGACUUUUGACAAUGCAGUGGCCAACCACAGAGCAAAGAAACCUGCAGAACAAAUGGUCAUUGAUCAGAAAUAGAAACAUUGAAGCUUCUGAGCACCCCCUCAUGGUGGAGACAAACUCAAUAUUUGUAUGCUUUAUGCCAAUUUUGUUAAAAUCUUAGUAUUUGGGUAAGCACUGUUAUUACAAACAUCUUGGCUUACAAAAGUCACUGCUUUGGAAAGAGUCGGAGCUCAUCGUCAGAUUGAGGUGUCUGUUGUAUUUGCUGUAUGCACUGGCUUCCUUUCGUGUAACACAAACUCUUGUAGUUUAUCGCAAACUACUUUCACCAGUAUUUAUUAUGACAACUUAAACUAUAUGCAUUAUGUAAGUUUCCAAA